GGGGGCGACAUGGCUUCGACGCGGAUGUCAAAACCCGAGGUGCAUGCCGAGGUCGCAAAUCAACCUCGUUAAUCAAUUUGCAACCUAAGCUAGUUGCGAACGACGACAACUACGCUCUAGCAGCUUAAAAAGCCUGCUAGUGCCCGACCGGUAAGUGUCUGUGCUUCCGGACCCGGGUAUCGACUCUUACAGACUCGCGGCAAGGCCCCGCUUCGGGCCGACCCGUUAAGAGCAAACGAAGAUACGCGCAGGUUUUCCCUUUUCGUCGGGUAACCUCGCGCCGACAAUCAAAGACGAAAUAAGCAUGUAGACCCGAGGGUCGAGAAUCCGCGGACGCGGGUUCGAUUCCCGCCGCCUCCACCA
Molecule: transfer-messenger RNA, 363 nt
Filed under: Salinisphaeraceae
Lineage: Bacteria; Pseudomonadati; Pseudomonadota; Gammaproteobacteria; Salinisphaerales
Also listed under: 2 other names
Description: Salinisphaera sp002729955 Standard tmRNA
Rfam family: transfer-messenger RNA
About the family: Bacterial tmRNA, also known as 10Sa RNA or SsrA, is named for its dual tRNA and mRNA-like properties.
Source: RNAcentral